Molecule: ribosomal RNA, 120 nt
Filed under: uncultured bacterium
Lineage: Bacteria
Description: partial 16S ribosomal RNA
Rfam family: Bacterial small subunit ribosomal RNA
Source: RNAcentral
UACACACCGCCCGUCACACCAUGGGAGUCGUUUGCUCCAGAAGUGCCUGAGCCAACCGCAAGGAGGCAGGGUCCCAAGGAGUGGAACGGUAACGUGGGGUGAAGUCGUAACAAGGUACCC